This 475-nucleotide ribosomal RNA is filed under the name uncultured bacterium. RNAcentral's name for it is "bacterial SSU rRNA". It matches the Rfam family "Bacterial small subunit ribosomal RNA", at positions 33 to 518 of the family's 1533-position model. The record is from RNAcentral.
ACGCUGGCGGCGUGCUUAACACAUGCAAGUCGAACGAGAACCUGUUAGAAGUUACUUUGACGGGGGACAGUGGCGAACGGGUGAGUAACGCGUAGGUAACUAACCUCAAAGAGAGGGAUAGCCCCGGGAAACUGGGAGUAAAACCACAUAAGCCCACAGUGUCGCAUGACACAGGGGGAAAAACUCCGGUGCUUUGAGACGGACCUGCGUCUGAUUAGCUAGUUGAGGGUAACGGCCCACCAAGGCGACGAUCAGUAGCCGACCUGAGAGGGUGAUCGGCCACAUUGGGACUGAGACACGGCCCAAACUCCUACGGGAGGCAGCAGUGGGGAAUAUUGCGCCAAUGGGGGAAACCCUGACGCAGCAACGCCGCGUGAGUGAAGAAGGUUUUCGGAUCGUAAAACUCUGUCUUUGGGGACGAAGAAGUGACGGUACCCAAGGAGGAAGCCCCGGCUAACUACGUGCCAGCCGCGGC